AACACAUGCAAGUCGAACGAACCUUCGGGUUAGUGGCGGACGGGUGAGUAACGCGUGAGAAUCUGCCCUCAGGAGGGGGAUAACGGCUGGAAACGGCCGCUAAUACCCCAUAUGCCGAAAGGUGAAACGAAAUUCGCCUGAGGAUGAGCUCGCGUCUGAUUAGCUAGUUGGUGGGGUAAAGGCCUACCAAGGCGUCGAUCAGUAGCUGGUCUGAGAGGAUGAUCAGCCACACUGGGACUGAGACACGGCCCAGACUCCUACGGGAGGCAGCAGUGGGGAAGUUUUCCGCAAUGGGCGAAAGCCUGACGGAGCAACGCCGCGUGAGGGAAGAAGGCCUCUGGGCUGUAAACCUCUUUUCUCAAGGAAGAAGAUCUGACGGUACUUGAGGAAUAAGCCACGGCUAAUUCCGUG
This 411-nucleotide ribosomal RNA is filed under the name uncultured bacterium. RNAcentral's name for it is "bacterial SSU rRNA". It matches the Rfam family "Bacterial small subunit ribosomal RNA", at positions 50 to 507 of the family's 1533-position model. The record is from RNAcentral.